Molecule: unclassified non-coding RNA, 253 nt
Filed under: uncultured Oceanospirillales bacterium
Lineage: Bacteria; Pseudomonadati; Pseudomonadota; Gammaproteobacteria; Oceanospirillales
Description: contains 16S-23S intergenic spacer region
Rfam family: Bacterial small subunit ribosomal RNA
Source: RNAcentral
UACGGAGGGUGCAAGCGUUAAUCGGAAUUACUGGGCGUAAAGCGCGCGUAGGCGGUUUGAUUAGUUGGAUGUGAAAGCCCAGGGCUUAACCUUGGAACUGCAUCCAAUACUGUCAGGCUAGAGUACGGUAGAGGGGGGUAGAAUUCCACGUGUAGCGGUGAAAUGCGUAGAGAUGUGGAGGAAUACCAGUGGCGAAGGCGGCCCCCUGGAUCGAUACUGACGCUGAGGUGCGAAAGCGUGGGGAGCAAACAGG